AGACAUCGGCUCUCACGGUGUUGGUGU
Molecule: non-coding RNA, 27 nt
Filed under: Homo sapiens (human)
Lineage: Eukaryota; Metazoa; Chordata; Mammalia; Primates; Hominidae
Source: RNAcentral